CAGUCUCUGAUGAAUCUCAAAUAGGAUGAAACGCGCGUCAAACUG
This 45-nucleotide non-coding RNA is filed under the name Schistosoma mansoni. The record is from RNAcentral. Lineage: Eukaryota; Metazoa; Platyhelminthes; Trematoda; Strigeidida; Schistosomatidae.